RNAcentral lists this ribosomal RNA (227 nucleotides) under uncultured bacterium. RNAcentral describes it as "partial 16S ribosomal RNA". It matches the Rfam family "Bacterial small subunit ribosomal RNA", at positions 383 to 607 of the family's 1533-position model. The record is from RNAcentral.
CUGAACCAGCCAAGUAGCGUGAAGGAUGACUGCCCUAUGGGUUGUAAACUUCUUUUAUAAAGGAAUAAAGUCGGGUAUGCAUACCCGUUUGCAUGUACUUUAUGAAUAAGGAUCGGCUAACUCCGUGCCAGCAGCCGCGGUAAUACGGAGGAACCGAGCGUUAUCCGGAUUUAUUGGGUUUAAAGGGAGCGUAGAUGGAUGUUUAAGUCAGUUGUGAAAGUUUGCGG